AUUGAACGCUGGCGGCAUGCUUUACACAUGCAAGUCGAACGGCAGCGCGGGCUUCGGCCUGGCGGCGAGUGGCGAACGGGUGAGUAAUACAUCGGAACGUGCCCAGUAGUGGGGGAUAGCUCGGCGAAAGCCGGAUUAAUACCGCAUACGACCUGAGGGUGAAAGCGGGGGAUCUUCGGACCUCGCGCUAUUGGAGCGGCCGAUGGCAGAUUAGCUAGUUGGUGGGGUAAAGGCCUACCAAGGCGACGAUCUGUAGCUGGUCUGAGAGGACGACCAGCCACACUGGGACUGAGACACGGCCCAGACUCCUACGGGAGGCAGCAGUGGGGAAUUUUGGACAAUGGGCGAAAGCCUGAUCCAGCAAUGCCGCGUGUGUGAUGAAGGCCUACGGGUUGUAAAGCACUUUUGGCGGGAACGAAAAGGACUGUGCCAAUACCACGGUUCGAUGACGGUACCCGCAGAAUAAGCACCGGCUAACUACGUG
Molecule: ribosomal RNA, 484 nt
Filed under: uncultured bacterium
Lineage: Bacteria
Description: partial 16S ribosomal RNA
Rfam family: Bacterial small subunit ribosomal RNA
Source: RNAcentral